Molecule: ribosomal RNA, 450 nt
Filed under: uncultured organism
Description: partial 16S ribosomal RNA
Rfam family: Bacterial small subunit ribosomal RNA
Source: RNAcentral
GUACACUCCUGCGGGAGGCAGCAGUGGGGAAUAUUGGACAAUGGGCGCAAGCCUGAUCCAGCCAUGCCGCGUGAGUGAUGAAGGCCCUAGGGUUGUAAAGCUCUUUCACCGGUGAAGAUAAUGACGGUAACCGGAGAAGAAGCCCCGGCUAACUUCGUGCCAGCAGCCGCGGUAAUACGAAGGGGGCUAGCGUUGUUCGGAUUUACUGGGCGUAAAGCGCACGUAGGCGGACUAUUAAGUCAGGGGUGAAAUCCCGGGGCUCAACCCCGGAACUGCCUUUGAUACUGGUAGUCUUGAGUUCGAGAGAGGUGAGUGGAAUUCCGAGUGUAGAGGUGAAAUUCAUAGAUAUUCGGAGGAACACCAGUGGCGAAGGCGGCUCACUGGCUCGAUACUGACGCUGAGGUGCGAAAGCGUGGGGAGCAAACAGGAUUAGAAACCCUGGUAGUCCCA